Long non-coding RNA from Danaus plexippus (monarch butterfly), 633 nucleotides. RefSeq lists it as uncharacterized. The record is from RefSeq and is a predicted model, not a curated record. The transcript has 3 exons. Lineage: Eukaryota; Metazoa; Arthropoda; Insecta; Lepidoptera; Nymphalidae.
AACCAAUAUCAAUUCAUUCUUGGAACGUACUUCGAAGGCAGCCCUAGUAGGUUCUUUUCAAAUUAGUUUAGGUAGAGAGAGCAGCUUGGACGGUGGACUCGAGCGUUCAACGUGCGUUAGAUAGGGGCCCCUUAAACCUACACCUGGUUUGCAAGUCCCAGGCACUGUUGAAGCUCCUCCCCCUGCAAAGCGAUGGACCCGACACCCGCACGAUGAAUACAUUGAAUGAUAAGAAGUUUCGUCUCUAUACUGGUGAUUCGACACCAUAACGCGUUGAAGCCUCAGCGAUUAAUCUACAUCAGAGUAUGAUAGGAAAGACGAUGGAGAUCGUGUUGCUGAAUCUUAUUAAGCGUCUGAGACCGAUGAGAGCAUUUCAGCGGCAGGUUGAACGUCCUAGGCUCAAGGCCUAGACCAGCUGAGUUGGUGACCGUCCGACGGUUCAAGGGCGCCGGGUGAAUGCCACCACUCAUAUUUUUUUGCGAGCGUCACUAGCUUACGUGAUACAGGCCUUAUCGAAGCCGGAUGAACAAAUCUCGUACUAAUAACUUAAGUCAUUUGUAUUUCAAUACAGAUAUCCGACAAAAAAAAACCUCACAUGGUAUUCGUGAGCACUUCAACGGCCUCGUUUUAUUA